AACGCUGGCGGCGUGCCUAAUACAUGCAAGUCGAACGCACUGACAGAGAAACUUGUUUCUCUUGACGUGAGUGGCGCACGGGUGAGUAACACGUGGGAAACCUACCCUUCAGCGGGGGAUAACCGUCGGAAACGAUGGCUAAUACCGCAUAGGUCUUUUAACCGCCUGGUUGAAAGAGGAAAGACGGCUUCGGCUGUCACUGAAGGAUGGUCCCGCGGUGCAUUAGCUAGUUGGUAAGGUAACGGCUUACCAAGGCGAUGAUGCAUAGCCGACCUGAGAGGGUGAUCGGCCACAUUGGGACUGAGACACGGCCCAAACUCCUACGGGAGGCAGCAGUAGGGAAUCUUCCGCAAUGGACGAAAGUCUGACGGAGCAACGCCGCGUGUGUGAAGAAGGUCUUCGGAUCGUAAAGCACUGUUAUUAGAGAAGAACAACCGGUAGAGUAACUGUUACCGGCUUGACGGUAUCUAACCAGAAAGCCACGGCUAACUACGUGCCAGCAGCCGCGGUAAUACGUAGGUGGCAAGCGUUGUCCGGAUUUAUUGGGCGUAAAGGGAGCGCAAGCGGUGACUUAAGUCUGAUGUGAAAGCCCACGGCUCAACCGUGGAAGGUCAUUGGAAACUGGGUCACUUGAGUGCAGAAGAGGAAAGUGGAAUUCCAUGUGUAGCGGUGAAAUGCGUAGAUAUAUGGAGGAACACCAGUGGCGAAGGCGACUUUCUGGUCUGUAACUGACGCUGAGGCUCGAAAGCGUGGGGAGCAAACAGGAUUAGAUACCCUGGUAGUCCACGCCGUAAACGAUGAGUGCUAAGUGUUGGAGGGUUUCCACCCUUCAGUGCUGGAGUUAACGCAAUAAGCACUCCGCCUGGGGAGUACGGUCGCAAGACUGAACUCAAAGGAAUUGACGGGACC
RNAcentral lists this ribosomal RNA (909 nucleotides) under uncultured bacterium. Its description in RNAcentral is "bacterial SSU rRNA". It matches the Rfam family "Bacterial small subunit ribosomal RNA", at positions 32 to 920 of the family's 1533-position model. The record is from RNAcentral.